This 27-nucleotide unclassified non-coding RNA is filed under the name Mus musculus (house mouse). RNAcentral's name for it is "piRNA piR-mmu-68406997". The record is from RNAcentral. Lineage: Eukaryota; Metazoa; Chordata; Mammalia; Rodentia; Muridae.
UUAGCCUCUGUUGGCAGUCCUGGGAGU